Molecule: ribosomal RNA, 533 nt
Filed under: [Tritirachium] sp. NIOLM_53
Lineage: Eukaryota; Fungi; Ascomycota; Sordariomycetes; Hypocreales
Description: SSU rRNA
Rfam family: Eukaryotic small subunit ribosomal RNA
Source: RNAcentral
UUGUCUCAAAGAUUAAGCCAUGCAUGUCUAAGUAUAAGCAAUUAUACAGCGAAACUGCGAAUGGCUCAUUAUAUAAGUUAUCGUUUAUUUGAUAGUACCUUACUACUUGGAUAACCGUGGUAAUUCUAGAGCUAAUACAUGCUAAAAAUCCCGACUUCGGAAGGGAUGUAUUUAUUAGAUUAAAAACCAAUGCCCUCUGGGCUCUUUGGUGAUUCAUGAUAACUUCUCGAAUCGCACGGCCUUGCGCCGGCGAUGGUUCAUUCAAAUUUCUUCCCUAUCAACUUUCGAUGUUUGGGUAUUGGCCAAACAUGGUUGCAACGGGUAACGGAGGGUUAGGGCUCGACCCCGGAGAAGGAGCCUGAGAAACGGCUACUACAUCCAAGGAAGGCAGCAGGCGCGCAAAUUACCCAAUCCCGACACGGGGAGGUAGUGACAAUAAAUACUGAUACAGGGCUCUUUUGGGUCUUGUAAAUUGGAAUGAGUACAAUUUAAAUCCCUUAACGAGGAACAAUUGGAGGGCAAGUCUGGUGCCA